This 222-nucleotide long non-coding RNA is filed under the name Elaeis guineensis (African oil palm). RNAcentral's name for it is "long non-coding RNA (EGUI_LNC048510)". The record is from RNAcentral. Lineage: Eukaryota; Viridiplantae; Streptophyta; Magnoliopsida; Arecales; Arecaceae.
UGCCUGUUUGGGUCUAGGGUGGCAAUAUACUGAGGACAGUUUCUCUUCCAGUGCCUCCGCUUCUUGCAAAAGAAGCAUUCAGCUUGACUCUUAUCGGGCUUGAUCUUUUUGGUCUGGCCCUGCACUGAUGUCCCAGCCUGAACUUGCACCUUCUUCACUUUCUUCUUCUUGUUCUUCUUUCUUUUCUUAAAGGGUCGAGAACCAGAAGAUGAACCUCCCACU